Molecule: non-coding RNA, 1215 nt
Organism: Tetranychus urticae (two-spotted spider mite)
Lineage: Eukaryota; Metazoa; Arthropoda; Arachnida; Trombidiformes; Tetranychidae
Source: RefSeq, a predicted model, not a curated record
GUUGAUACCAGGAGUACCAGGUAGCCCAACGGUAUUUCCAUUAGCAACUGUCAAAAGAUGAACCAAGAAAAAAAAGGAUUAUUUCAUAUUGUAAAUGCGUUGAUCUCAAUUUUUAAAGUUCAAAGGGAUUAAGAUGAUUUAAUUAUUAUCAAACCAUUGGAAUACGGAAACGGAAGACAACUUAGGCUGUGGCAAGGACAUUAAUUUCAAGGUGAUUUGGGUUUGAAAAGGAAUCAUGUUUCUCUCUGGUUUUACUUCUACCUUGAGAAGAAAUUACAAAGUAAAUGCUGUUGUUUUUGCUGUUGCUACUGAUGAUGAUUAUGGACUGGGUCAGCAAAGUGUGUAUUAUGCAUGGAUGUAAACGUGUUUACAAAUUCACAGGGAAUCAAGCUCAUUGGUCUCAACCAAACGUUGGCUUUUUCAGACAUUAAUUUCAAGGUUACUAGGAAGUGACAUGGAAACGAAAGGAAGAAAGUUGCCAGUUUUUGAGCAAAAAACGGAUUACCUUGCUUUCUCUAAAUAAUACUACAUUGUGAACUUAAAUACCCAUUGCUGUAUUAAGUGACGUAAACUUUUUUUUGAUAAAGCAAGGCCACCUUCAAGGAAUUCCGGUUUUCGUCUGAAGUUUGAGACUAGAAUCCAAGGUGGACUUGACUCUCACACAUCUUUAUAAACAUGAGUUGCACAACAAACUUCAGAGAUGAUGAUCAUGUUGAUGGAUCAUAUUAUUCAAUAAGACUAAAACAGAGUCCAAAAAGUUUGUAAUGAUCUCUGGUUCGAAGUAACUUCCAUGUUAAAGAAUUCAAUUCAUAUAAAUGCAUACAGUAACAUGAAGUGGUGGGAUUCAUUCAAGCUGGUUUUAUGUUCAAUAUUUAACGAUGUGGAAAACGAUUGUUGGUUUGAUUAGAUGAUCAUCAUCUUCUAUCAUCGAGAUAAAGCAACAUUUUAGAUUGACCCAAGUAAAACGAGUCGAAUCUAUCAUCCAUUGGACACAUGAUUGAAAACGAUAAGCAAUAUUUACAUCGUUAUACAUGACUUUCAAAGUUUAUGAAAAGAUGCCUUUUUAUUCAAAGAUUAAUGCUUUAAUCUUUGUUCUUAUUGGAUUCACACAAAUUCAAGUCAACUAUUCUUUCAUAUUAUUAGAUUGGCCAGAAAAUUUACAGAUAGCUUCAAUGCUUAAUUUUGAUUGAAUAAAAUGCAGACUAAAAUUACUGA